Macaca mulatta (Rhesus monkey) is the source of this 2496-nucleotide long non-coding RNA. The record is from Ensembl. Lineage: Eukaryota; Metazoa; Chordata; Mammalia; Primates; Cercopithecidae.
UUCCUUUUAUUUCCCGAUUUUUAUAAGUCAGUGCCCUUACAACUUCCAAAGGUAAACAUGAGGUUUCUUUCCUUAAGCAGCAUCAUCAACUCUUGGAUGUUGAUAUAUUCAACACAAGCUAAAAAAAAAGGAAUCUUAAGUCUUAAGAUAUCAUUAAGAGUAACUUGAAUUACUUAUGAAGGAUUUAUAUACUAAAUAUAUGCUCACAUUAAUUUUCAUAUAUAGAUAUUAAUUUACAAGUAAUUAACAUGCUACAACAUUUUAUAAUUCACUUCAAUAAUGUGUAGAGAUAACAUAAAAAUUAACUCUAGCCUACCUUGGGCUGCAUGAUCACAGACAAGCUGAUGUAAUUAAAAUGAAAAGAUUUAUUUCCUGGUACUUUCAUGGCUUUAUUUUUACAUUAAAAUCUUUCAUGAUGUAUUAUUUAUUGCUAUCUUUCACCAAAUGGUUGGCCAGUCAAUCCCAGGGUGACUUCUUAAUAAUAACAGCUAAUACAUGUAAACCAUAAACAUUUAUGAAAAUUAUACACCCUCAUAUAAAUUUCAUUAUAACAUACAUAAAUUACAAAAGAAAGAAAAAGUCAACGAGGAUAUGGGGGAAGCCAAAAGGAAUACAAACUAACAAAUGAACCUAACUAUGUACAAAUUAUGCAAAUCACAUAAUUUGCAGGAGGAGGUGGAAAGAAAAGAUCUAGGCAACGUUUGAAACCAGUACUGUAGACGCUACAGGUCAAACACAAAAACAACAGUGCACAAUUAAGGAAGGUGCCCUCCAUAGUGACUGUGCCUCCUGGGGGCACAGGUUGAGCAGUUCACCUACAGCACUGACAUGGCAUAAGUGAAUGUCGUGUCAAUCUGAGAGCCAGGUUUACCCCUGUCACAGGAAGAAACUACACAUAAGGAAAGGGGCAGGUGAGACCGGAACAGUAGGAACUGGACAGCUACAGAAACCAACGGGGGUAAAUGCAUAAGCACGUGUCACAGAUCCACUUCCCAGCUCUGUCCCAGGAGGGCCCAGAAGCAACAAGCACAGCCAUUGCCCAGGUCUUGGUUGCUAAAUCCGUCUCCAGUGAGGGAGGGCUCCCUGGAGAAGUAGCUGGGUCCAGAGCUGGGACAAGGAAAACCGAAGACAUCCCAAAAUAAGGAAGUACUUAAAUAAGGAUGGGGCACAGGAGACAAUCUCCAGGAGCUCCCAGUGGCCAAAGCAUGACAGUAUCAGAUUAUGACUCACAGACUCAAACAAACAUCCCUUGAGUUCAUACUGAUACACACAUCUAAAGAAAGAAAUGGUAGGUCUGGCGCAGUGGCUCAUGCCUGCAAUCCCAGCACUUUGGGAGGCCAAGGCGGGCGGAUCACUUGAGCUCGAGAAUUUGAGACCAGCCUGAGCAACAUAAGGAAACCCCAUCUCUACAAGAAAUACAAAAACUUAGCUGUGCAUGGUGGUGAGCACCUGUGGUUCUAGCUACUCAGGAGGCUGAGAUGGAAGGAUCACUUGAGUCCGGGAGGUCGAGGCUGCAGUGAGCCAUGAUACAGCCACUGCACUGCAGCCUGAGCGACAGAGCAAGACCCUGUCUCAGAAAAAAAAAGCUGGAGAAGGGACUGCUCUUUCUUAGAGACGAAUUCCAAUUAAUAAACGUCAAAGGAAUGAGGAAAAUGCAAAAAUCACCUUUGAAAACUAAGUUAAUAAUUACUGCAUUGCAAGACCCACCAGUGGAUGCUGAAAUCGGUGGGUAGGCCGGGUGCGGUGGCUCACGCCUGUAAUCCUAGCACCUUGGGAGGCCGAGGUGGGUGGAUUGCCUGAGCUCAGGAGUUCAACACCAGCCUGGGCAACAUGGUGAAACCCCGUCUCUACUAAAAAUACAAAAAAAAUUACCUGGGCAUGGUGGCGUGUGCCUGUAAUCGCAGCUGCUUGGGAGGCUGAGAUGGGAAUUGCUUGAAGCUGGGAGGCGGAGGUUGCAGUGAGCUGAGAUUGUGCCACUGCACUCCAGCCUGGGUAACAGAGUGAGACUCCAUCUCAAAAAAAAAAAAAAAAAUUAGAAAUUAGUGGGUAAAACUUGGAAGAGAAACAGACAUUCACUUAGUCUGGAAGUAUCUCCCCAAGGUAUUUAUGGAUGACAAAGGGAAAACAGUAACUAUGUAGUGGAGAAGGCCCGGCAGCCGCAACUGCCACCUGAACUAAUACGACCAAGAGUUGGACAGACUGACAUUGCAUAUCUCCACUAUGCAUUGAGAAGAGGACAUCCCAGCUGUGGUAUUCAUGCCAAAAAAUAAACCAGCAGGGCAUGGUGGCUCAGGCCUGUAAUCCCAGCACUUUGGGAGGCCAAGGCAGAUGGAUCACAAGGUCAGGAGUUCAAGAUCAGCCUGGCCAGCAUGGUGAAACCUUGUCUCUACUAAAAAUACAAAAAUUAGCCAGGCGAUGGUCUCGAUCUCCUGACUUUGUGAUCUGCCUGCCUCAGCCUCCCAGUGUGCUGGAAAUACAGGCGUGAGCCACUGUGCC